GGACGGUGAUGCUUUAGUUCUACACACGAGAUUUCUGUCCGAACCUUCGGGCCCUGCGGACAACGUAACCUAAUUGAGUCC
Molecule: small nucleolar RNA, 81 nt
Filed under: Chlamydomonas reinhardtii
Lineage: Eukaryota; Viridiplantae; Chlorophyta; Chlorophyceae; Chlamydomonadales; Chlamydomonadaceae
Description: CrCD66f snoRNA
Source: RNAcentral